This 2001-nucleotide long non-coding RNA is filed under the name Triticum aestivum (bread wheat). Its description in RNAcentral is "long non-coding RNA (TAES_LNC024818)". Lineage: Eukaryota; Viridiplantae; Streptophyta; Magnoliopsida; Poales; Poaceae. The record is from RNAcentral.
GACGACGCCGGCGCGAGGUCCUGGAGGCAAACCCUGGCUGAGCUUGGUCGUAGUGGUCGACCAAUGGAGCAAGGUACCUCGCCCCCUGCCUCAUCUCUUCCUUACCUCCCUCCCUGCAGGUGGCUAGCCGACGACUAAACAUUCAAUUAUUUCUGUUCUAGUGGGCACAAAAAUUGAAGGUAAGCCACCAUUGAGAUCUAGGGUCCCUGAAAUUUUCUGAUCACGAUGAUUACUGUCAGCUCUUGUCCAAAUGAAGCACAUCGUCCAGGGAUAGGACAACACCAAAAAUUUAUUGGAUUCAGACGUGUAAUCUCUGAUUCUUCCCAUGUAGAUGUUGGGGAGGAUGGUCCUUCCGUUGUUGAACAAUUAUAAACUAUGUAGUGUGAUCUUCCCACGUAGUGCAAUCUCUGAAUCUCUGAAUAAUGUUGGUUGAUGAUAUAAGAUGGUAAUCUACGUUGAACAAUGAUGCUAGUCUGAAGGAGAAAAUUCUGUUAAGUAGACAAUGACUCAAACAUGCCCUUUUCCAAGUGUGGCUAUUUAUUUUGUGAGGUACUCAAGUUACAAUGUUCAAUUUCCCAGCUUACAACAAAUUCUGCUAGUGAUUACAGUUUACUUACCAUGAAGCCUGACCAGUGCAUCUAUAUCCUUCAUAUCAUAAAUUUUUAAGUCAUGCUUUCUACAAAUUUUAGUGAUCAAGGAUAAUAAGACUGGACCAUGAAAGUGGCUAGAGAGCAAAUGAAAUCUUGUCAGGAUGUCCUUUAAUAGAGUUGGACUUCAGUACGAAUGUCCUUUAAUGUUGUUUGCUGUUAUGAGGGAAUGUAGAUCUAUCUUUCGUUCAAAAUAUCUACUCCUAUGAGAAAAUACAUGCAAUGGUGCAAGUUGUGGUUAAUGUACGCUGCAAAUAACUGAAAGAACUCCUCUAAUCAAUAAUGUGGGAUCAGUGUGGUCAUCAAUGGGGCUUUAACUGCACUUGUGCAGAUCCGUGGGCCAUACUCAUCUAUUAUCCAUGGAAUACGACCAAUAUACGUUUUGGCAGUGUAAAUACAACACGAAUCACGAAGAAAUGAAUGGUGUGGAUACCAUCCUCGCGUGGCACCAUGUCCACUCGUGAUUUAUCGCUCCUAUUCAUUCUUAUUUAGUGGAACUUAAUAGAGUUGGACUUCUGGGAUUUAUAAGGUUGCAAGUGUCUUUUUAUUCUAGCAAAGUUGCUGCCUCAUUUAUUUAGGAAAAAUGUUACUAAUACUUUUGACCAAAAGAAGUAGGACUAAUGUUUGCUCACAUGGUCUCCUAUGAACAGUGAUUGUGGACGUCCACGAUGGAAGUUGCGGUGCACGGACUUGUUUCAACGGCGGCAUUUUGAGGUCAUGUACAUAUGAAGAUUGGAAAUACUGUUGGUGAGGUGGAGCUGAUCUGAAUUGGAUGUGUUUGGGAUCAUACCAGGUUGCCCUGCUGCUAUCUCUGCACAGACGGGCGAGCGAGACCGCAGUUUCUUGUUCUUGCAGCAGAUGCAUUCUUGUUGGGUCAUUUCUUCUGACUAUAGUGAAUGCCUAAUCUUGUGGUUAUAUGAGCGGCAUUGUUUGAAUGAACUAGGCCAUGUGGUGUUCCACCCCUGUAGCUUGAUUGCAUUCUUCAAACGUGGCAAAGUAAUGAGUUGCAUUUUUAUUUGUGGGUUUAUUUGUGUGCGUUGGGGGUUGUAUUGCUUGCCUUGCGGUUUACAGAAAUUUAGACGGGCGCAUGGCCUUGUUAGGCGAUGUAUUGCUGGGGCUCCUGAAGAUUGAUAAAGCUGGGGCUGCUAGAUUGCACGCCUAUUCUUGUCAUUGCCUCGUUAUACAGUGAGAUCACCAUCGUGCUUUACAAAGAAUAAUGUUUGGUGGGUAAGUACAGUCAUGUCAUAGAUUCGAUCCCUGUUCUUCGAAAGAAAAACAUUCCAAAAAGUGGUCAACUUGUCUCAAACCGAGGACCACACGAUAGAAGUGCAGAUUGUUGCCAGUGCGAUAUAAG